GUUCAUGUAGCUUAUGAAAAGCAUGACACUGAAGACGUCAAGAUGGAUGCCACAAACACCCAUGAACA
RNAcentral lists this transfer RNA (68 nucleotides) under Ptilorrhoa leucosticta. RNAcentral describes it as "tRNA-Phe". It matches the Rfam family "tRNA". From Rfam's summary of the family: Transfer RNA (tRNA) molecules are approximately 80 nucleotides in length. Their secondary structure includes four short double-helical elements and three loops (D, anti-codon, and T loops). Lineage: Eukaryota; Metazoa; Chordata; Aves; Passeriformes; Cinclosomatidae. The record is from RNAcentral.